AAUAGAUACCCUGGUAGUCCACGCAGUAAACGAUGAUUACUGGCUGUUUGCGAUACAAUGUAAGCGGCUGAGCGAAAGCGUUAAGUAAUCCACCUGGGGAGUACGUUCGCAAGAAUGAAACUCAAAGGAAUUGACGGGGGCCCGCACAAGCGGAGGAACAUGUGGUUUAAUUCGAUGAUACGCGAGGAACCUUACCCGGGCUUGAAAUGCGGUGGACCGGCGGAGAGAUCCGCCCUCCCUUCGGGGCCACCGUGUAGGUGCUGCAUGGUUGUCGUCAGCUCGUGCCGUGAGGUGUCGGCUUAAGUGCCAUAACGAGCGCAACCCUCAUCAUUAGUUACUAACAGGUAAAGCUGAGGACUCUAGUGAGACUGCCAUCGUAAGAUGCGAGGAAGGUGGGGAUGACGUCAAAUCAGCACGGCCCUUACGUCCGGGGCGACACACGUGUUACAAUGGGUGGUACAAAGGGCAGCUACCUGGCGACAGGAUGCCAAUCCCCAAAACCACUCUCAGUUCGGAUCGGAGU
RNAcentral lists this ribosomal RNA (523 nucleotides) under uncultured bacterium. Its description in RNAcentral is "bacterial SSU rRNA". It matches the Rfam family "Bacterial small subunit ribosomal RNA", at positions 777 to 1304 of the family's 1533-position model. The record is from RNAcentral.